GUCGAACGAGGUCUGUAGCAAUACAGAUACUCGUGGCGAACGGGUGCGUAACACGUGGAUAACCUUCCUUCAGGUGGGGAAUAACCCAGUGAAAAUUGGGCUAAUACCGCAUAACAUGACGAUGGCUCAUGCUGUUGUCUUCAAAGCCGCAAGGCGCCAGAAGAGGGAUCCGCGGCCGAUUAGCUUGUUGGCGAGGUAAUGGCUCACCAAGGCAUUGAUCGGUAGCCGGACUGAGAGGUUGACCGGCCACACUGGAACUGAGACACGGUCCAGACUCCUACGGGAGGCAGCAGUGGGGAAUCUUGCGCAAUGGACGAAAGUCUGACGCAGCAACGCCGCGUGGGGGAUGAAGCUUCUCGGAGUGUAAACCCCUUUCGACCCGGACGAAUGCCCGCAAGGGCUUGACGGUACGGGUAUAAGAAGCCCCGGCUAACUACGUGCCAGCAGCCGCGGUAAAACGUAGGGGGCCAGCGUUGCUCGGAAUUACUGGGCGUAAAGGGUCCGUAGGCGGUGUGGCAAGUCGGAAGUGAAAUCUCUGGGCUUAACUCAGAGGCUGCUCCCGAAACUGCCAUGCUAGAGUGCGAGAGAGGCGAGUGGAAUUGCGGGUGUAGCGGUGAAAUGCGUAGAUAUCCGCAGGAACAUCCGAGGCGAAAGCGGCUCGCUGGAUCGCAACUGACGCUGA
This 682-nucleotide ribosomal RNA is filed under the name uncultured bacterium. Its description in RNAcentral is "bacterial SSU rRNA". It matches the Rfam family "Bacterial small subunit ribosomal RNA", at positions 61 to 749 of the family's 1533-position model. The record is from RNAcentral.